RNAcentral lists this ribosomal RNA (460 nucleotides) under uncultured bacterium. RNAcentral describes it as "bacterial SSU rRNA". It matches the Rfam family "Bacterial small subunit ribosomal RNA", at positions 28 to 519 of the family's 1533-position model. The record is from RNAcentral.
GAUAAACGCUGGCGGCGCGCCUAAAACAUGCAAGUCGAACGGGCACCUUCGGGUGUCAGUGGCGGACGGCUGAGUAACACGUGGGUGACCUGCCCUCGAACGGGGGAUAACUGGCCCGAAAGGGUGGCUAAUACCGCAGAUGUCGCAUCUUCGUUGGUGUGACUGAACCGUGUAGGGUUCGAGGAGGGGCCCGCGGCCGAUUAGCUAGCUGGUGGGGUAACGGCCUACCAGGGCUCGAUCGGAGCUGGUCUGAGAGGAUGAUCAGCCAGACUGGGACUGCGAGACGGCCCAGACUCCUACGGGAGGCAGCAGUUAGGAAUUUUGGGCAAUGGGCGAAAGCCUGGACCCAGCAACGCCGCGUGGGUGAUGAAGGCCCUCGGGUCGUAAAGCCCUUUUCCAGGGGAAGAUAGUGACGGUACCCUGGGAAUCAGCCCCGGCUAACUACGUGCCAGCCGCCGCA